This 722-nucleotide ribosomal RNA is filed under the name Columbella sp. VR-2017. RNAcentral describes it as "partial 16S ribosomal RNA". The stretch from base 1 to 577 matches the Rfam family "Bacterial large subunit ribosomal RNA", at positions 1817 to 2925 of the family's 2925-position model. The record is from RNAcentral. Lineage: Eukaryota; Metazoa; Mollusca; Gastropoda; Neogastropoda; Columbellidae.
GGCUCUUUGGUAAUGUAGAUAAAGAGUCGGACCUGCCCAGUGAAAAUUUUUAACGGCCGCGGUACUCUGACCGUGCAAAGGUAGCAUAAUCAUUUGCCUUAUAAUUGAAGGCUUGUAUGAAUGGUUUGACAAGAAUAUAGCUGUCUCUAUACGAUUUUGUAGAAUUUUAUUUUGAAGUGAAGAAGCUUGAAUAAAAUUGAUAGACAAGAAGACCCUAUCGAGCUUGAAAAAAGGUUAUAGAUGUUUUAAAAUAUAUCUAAAAAAUUAUCUGUGAUAAAUUUUGGUUGGGGCGACUUAGGAACAAAUUAAGCUUCCUAAAUUUACUUAAUACAGACAAAAUGAUCCAAAAAAUUUUGAUUAAUGAAAUUAGUUACCGUAGGGAUAACAGCAUUAUCUUCUUUAAGAGUUCUUAUCGAAAAGAGGGUUUGUGACCUCGAUGUUGGACCAGAAUAUCCUAAAGAUGCAGCAGUCUUUAAGGGUUGGUCUGUUCGACCAUUAAAAUUCUACGUGAUCUGAGUUCAGACCGGCGUGAGCCAGGUCAGUUUCUAUCUUUAAUUUAAAUUAUAAAUUUAGUACGAAAGGACCAAUUUAUUAUAAUUUGUUGUGCUGGAAGAUACAAUUUAAUGAAGGUUAUUAUCAAAUUAGCAAAAUGAAUGCAAUUGACUUAGGAUCAAUAGAUAUAGGUGAAAUUCCUUUAUUUGAUAAUAAAGAUGGCAGAUGAA